GGUGAUGGUGGGGGUGGUGGGGGUGACUUGUACUUGUAGGGGUGCUUGGGUGGUGACGGUGGGGGUGGGGACUUGUACUUGUAAGGGUGCUUGGGUGGUGACGGUGGUGGUGGUGGGGGGGACUUGUACUUGUAGGGAUGCUUUGGUGGGGAUGGUGGUGGUGGUGGUGGGGACUUGUACUUGUAGGGAUGCUUAGGUGGUGAUGGUGGUGGUGGUGGAGACUUGUAUUUGUAAGGAUGCUUUGGUGGUGAUGGUGGUGGAGGUGGUGGGGACUUGUACUUGUAAGGGUGCUUGGGUGGUGAUGGAGGUGGAGGUGGUGGAGACUUAUACUUGUAAACUGGAGGUGGUGGGGGUGGAGACUUGUACUUGUAAGGGUGCUUGGGUGGUGACGGAGGUGGAGGUGGUGGAGACUUAUACUUGUAAACUGGAGGUGGUGGGGGUGGAGACUUGUACUUGUAAGGGUGCUUGGGUGGUGAUGGUGGGGGUGGGGGUGGCGACUUGUACUUGUAGGGGUGUUUAGGUGGUGAUGGUGGUGGUGGUGGGGACUUGUACUUGUAAGGAUGCUUGGGUGGUGAUGGUGGUGGAGGUGGAGGAGACUUGUACUUGUAAGGAUGCUUGGGUGGUGAUGGUGGUGGAGGUGGUGGAGACUUAUACUUGUAAACAGGAGUUGGUGGGGGAGGAGAUUUGUACUUGUAAG
RNAcentral lists this long non-coding RNA (697 nucleotides) under Gossypium raimondii (Peruvian cotton). Its description in RNAcentral is "long non-coding RNA (GRAI_LNC003490)". The record is from RNAcentral. Lineage: Eukaryota; Viridiplantae; Streptophyta; Magnoliopsida; Malvales; Malvaceae.